UUCUGGUUCAGCUUCAACAUCAACCAUGUUCUCUACUCCUCUACUGCUGUUACUGUUAGCAGCUGUUUCCUGUGUUCACUGUGUUGAACUGAGCCAGUCUGGAUCUACAGUUGUAGCACCUGGUCAAUCAACUACACUGACCUGUAGAGUUUCUGGAUAUUCACUGAGUGAUAGCAGCUACUGUACAGACUGGAUACGACAGCCUGCAGGAAAAGCUCUGGAGUGGGUUGGAGAGAUAUGUGGAAGUGGUAGCACUUACUACAGUGAUAAACUGAAGAGCAGAUUUGAAGUUACCAGAGACUCAUCCAGCAGCACAGUGUCUUUAAGAGGACAGAAUCUGCAGACUGAAGAUACAGCUGUGUAUUACUGCGCUCGAGCCCCACAGUGAAACACAUCAACAG
Molecule: non-coding RNA, 401 nt
Organism: Astyanax mexicanus (Mexican tetra)
Lineage: Eukaryota; Metazoa; Chordata; Actinopteri; Characiformes; Acestrorhamphidae
Source: the annotation of a RefSeq genome assembly